Molecule: long non-coding RNA, 7180 nt
Filed under: Lactuca sativa (garden lettuce)
Lineage: Eukaryota; Viridiplantae; Streptophyta; Magnoliopsida; Asterales; Asteraceae
Description: long non-coding RNA (LSAT_LNC004111)
Source: RNAcentral
GACAUCUGUGACAUUUACGUGGGCUUUAGCAUUGUUGCUCAACAACCCAAAAGCGUUAGAAACUGCCCAAGAUGAAAUUGAUGAGUAUGUUGGAAGGGACAGAUUGGUGGAGGAGUCAGACCUAAAGAACUUAGUCUACCUCAAUGCCAUCAUCAAAGAAACAUUACGAUUAUACCCAGCUGGACCUCUCUCUGUUCCUCACGAGUCACUGGAGGACUGCAUUGUGGGUGGCUACAGCAUUCCAAAAGGAACUCGUCUUCUGGUAAAUCUUUGGAAGUUGCAACGUGACCCAAGUAUCUGGUCAGAUCCCGAGGAAUUCAAGCCUGAGAGAUUCUUGACAAGUCACAAGGAUAUCGAUGUCAAGGGAAACCAUUAUGAAUUGCUUCCUUUUGGUAGUGGUAGAAGGAUGUGCCCUGGUGUUUUAUUUGCUCUUCAGGUUUUGGGUUUAACGCUAGCUCGUUUGCUACAACAAUUUGUGCUUAAAAAACCAUCAGACGAACCUGUUGAUAUGACUGAAAGCAUGGGGGCGACUAAUGGCAAAGCAGCACCACUUGAUGUUCUUUUGGGCCCUCGUUUACCCACUGAUAUGUAUAAAGUCGGUUAGUGAUAUAUCAACUUCAGAUCGCAUACAAAUCCCAUUCCAUCAAUCAUUCUCCAUAAAGCAAUCAAUUAUGAUGGGGGCAAGCAAAAUAACCCAAUUAUGACAGCCACUGUGGAACAUAAAUGAUCGGUUUUUGAGUACUCCUAUUAUUUAUAAAGUAAUUAAUAAAAGCUUGAUAAUUAUUAUGUAAUGAAGUCAUGUGGCUGCAUUCUACUCAUCUCGUUUAUAUGUGUUGUGUACCGAUCACAUUCCAUAUGAUAAUGUUUUCAUUGUCACAAUUAAGUUUAUAUAUGUGUUGUGUACCGAUCAUUUUCAUAUGAUAGAUUUUCAUAUGAUAGUGUUACGAAAAGUAUUUUUCAAUUAGAUUAAAAGAAUGGAUGAUUAGAGCAUCGUGGGGAGUUUAAUCGUGGGGAGUUUAAUGGAAGAGUUGAAUCACUACAAGAAUAAACACCUCUAGGGAUGAGUUCUAUAGUGACGACUUAAGUCGUCACAAUAGGCUUUCUAUAGGGACAACAUAUCGUCACUAUAGAGUUGACCAUUUUUUAUUGACUCUUUUUGAUACAGGGACGUAUUUUUGUCUCAACAUGUUAAGCUGGAAAAAUAAGGGAUUGGUGUGUUCUUUAAACACCUAUAGAGACCACAAAUCGCUCUAAUAAAUAACAAAAAUUAAAAGUAACAUAUUUUUUUAAUCGUUUCACGGAAAUAAAGUGUUUUGAGGAAAAUAUAGAGACGACUCGUCCCCAUAGCAUUCUAUGCCCAAAAAAAAAUAUUUUUAAUCUAUUUGGUUGGAAAAGUGAAAACGAUGUCGUUUGUUUGUGGGUAUAGGGACGAUAGAUCAUCCCCAUACGGUUAUGAUCUUAGGAUCCUUUUCCGUUUGGGCUUCUCCGGUCUCCGGUCUCGGAUCUUCUCUGGGUGCUUGGGUGCUCCGUGCUCAUCGAAUAGCUUUUCUCUGGAUCCAUCUUCCCCCUUCACUAACCCAAACGCCUCCAUCUCUAUUUCUCAUUCAAGGCUUAGAACUCAAGCAAAUCUCUAUCUUUUUGCACAUGUUCGUUGAAGCUCAUGCGCAUCUCAAUAUUUCUAUGUUUUUUUUUCCUUCUUAUCCAUCCCUAACUUGUGAUUUUCUAUGAUUUCACGGUUGCACUCUUAGUUGCUGUCUCAGGAUGCGAUUUGCUCCCACCAUUUCUGGUUCCCAGCUUAUUAAAAGGUAUUUUGUUUUCAGCAUUGAUAAUCACAGUUGCUUUUUCAUGUACAAUAUUCACAGAUUUACUUCAAUUGUUGAAAUUUUCUCAUAUCUAGUUGAGAAUUUCUUAUGUUUGCUUAAGAAAAUCCAUUAUUUUCAUCCAAUUUUGGGGUUUUAAGCAGCAUGAUUACAAUUUUGAGUUCAUUAGAAACUUGGAUUUUCUGUGUUAUAAGGAGAAGAAGGAACAAAUGAAUUGACAAUGUUAAAUGUCAAUGAUACAAUUAUACCCUUCUGUUGAAACUCCUCAGGUAGCUUCAAAACCAUAUCUUCAUUGCAAUUAUUUGGAGAUAAUCCAUCAUUAAACAUACAGAAAACAAACACUUUAGCAUAUUCAAUAUCUUUAAUCUUGCAAAAUCCAUGAACUAAUGCCUUGUAAAUAAACAAAUCAGGCUUUAAUCCUGCAUACAACCUUGCAAUAAGCAUUAAUCAACGUGUUACAAGUGAUUUUAUCAUGAACAACCUUUUUCUCAGUCAUUUCAUUCAACAUUUUGUUUGCAUCCUUUAUUCUUCCAUCUUCACAUAAUUUAGUUUCUUCCAUACCAUGUAUCAUAUCUAAACAUGAUUCAGAAUUUUCAUAAUUAUUGCUUAUGUGUCUUCUAAUGUAGCUUGUGGUGAGCAAUUGCUGACACCAUCAACUUCUUUACCUGACUCCACAUUGUUGUCACUUUGGUCAACUUUGCAGACUUCUUCUAUAUCAAUUUCUAUAUGAUUUGCACCAUAGAAGCUAUGGAUUUCUCACUUUAUUCGGCAUCAUCAUAAUCACUCGAUGAGUUCCCAGUUAUAUCCACAUCACAAACAUCAUAAAACUUCUUUUGUGUCUUCUUCCAUGUGGCUUUCUGUGUCACUUUCCUCUUUCACUUCUUUUUCUUCCUCAACCACUUUCUCACUUGCUUCAUCAUCACUAUUUGAUUCAUGAAUCUCUACAAUUAGUACUUCCUCAGUGUUCAAGAACUUCCUGCUUUGUAUUUUCCAAUAACCCCAAUGCUUCACUGAAACUCUUCUCAUAACCAUUUUCAUCAUAAUCAUGGGAUGUUUUCUUUUCAUUUUCCACCUUCUGAUACAAAGCUAAGUUGUUGGUUUCAUCAGCAAGAUUAUUAGAAUUACUUGAUCCCACCUCAUCCUUAUUCUCCUUUGACUCUAUGUGCAUGUCAUCUUUGACUGUCUCCUUAUUUUCACAAGUGUCAAGUACAAAAUAAACAUUUGGUCCUUGUCUAUCUUUCUUCAAAGAUUUAUUUACAUCAUUUUCAAUCACCUCAGAAGACCUUGUUGGAUGUUCUACAAAUUUUGUUUCACCUACAAUUUCUUUAGCAUCACAAACAAUUUUAUCAUCUUCCAAUUCAUGAGAAAAUCUUAUUGGUAUCUCACAGUUCUUAUGAUUCUUUCCCACAUUCAAAGAAACUUCUAAAGCACUUACAUUUGCCAUUCUAGCUUUAAAGAUUUCUUUAAUCCAAUGUUCAUUUUCUUUUUACUCUUCACUUGUGCUUAUCCAUAAUGAUUAACCUUUUUGUUAUUCUCUAUUGAGUUGCCAAUUUUUCCAUGGAAUAUCCCCCUCAGGUCUGUGUGUAGCUUUGUAAUCCUGUUUGUAUUACGUGCACAUCCAUUAACAUAUGAAACAUCUAUUCGAUGCCCACUAAAAAUAAGGGAAGGUAGACACUUGCGAUGUCAACGGGGGCAAACGGGACGGGGAUUCCAUCCCCCGCCCCCGCCCCCAAAAUUUUCCCGUUCCCCCGCCCCCGAAAUCUCCAUCCUUUCCACCCCCGCCCCCGCCCCCGANNNNNNNNNNNNNNNNNNNNNNNNNNNNNNNNNNNNNNNNNNNNNNNNNNNNNNNNNNNNNNNNNNNNNNNNNNNNNNNNNNNNNNNNNNNNNNNNNNNNNNNNNNNNNNNNNNNNNNNNNNNNNNNNNNNNNNNNNNNNNNNNNNNNNNNNNNNNNNNNNNNNNNNNNNNNNNNNNNNNNNNNNNNNNNNNNNNNNNNNNNNNNNNNNNNNNNNNNNNNNNNNNNNNNNNNNNNNNNNNNNNNNNNNNNNNNNNNNNNNNUGCCUCCGUCCCCUAUUUUUUUCAACAAAUGCUCUCAUACGAGACGGGGGCCCUACGGGAUCGGGGUCCCACGGGACUUUUUGACACCCCUAGUAGACACAUAUACAAUUGAAAUCAGCUUACGAUUACAUCUUUAGUCCCUGUGCUAUAGCAAUAUUUUCAGAUUUGAUCCAAAGAGGAUUAUUUUUUUCCUUUUUCGGGAAUGAUUUGGGUGAAACAGGGACCAAAGGAAAAUAAAAAAGGUUCCUUGUUGUAGCAGAUCUAAAAAUAUCAUUAUAGUCCAGGGACCAAAAAGGAAAAAAGAUUCGUUGUUGAACCAGAUCUAAAAUAUCACUGGAGGACAGGGACAAAAAUGUAAUUUACUUGAUAAUCUAAUCAAUGGUUGAAAUUUGAAAAUACUGGACAACUUAGACGAACUUACUGCAACAUGAAAGCUAUUUAUUUCUUCUUUGUUCAUAAUAUCACCAGAACUUCAUUUAAAUCUUUUUGGUGUUUGGUUUGGUUGAAAUCUGAAAUAAUUGAUAUUUUGUCACAUGUUUUGUUGACAGAAUUGGAAUGGAAUUCAGUUCCAAACCUUUGUAUAUUUCUGUUUUUAAAUGAAUAUAAAUGAUAAAUGGCAAAACUACUCGUUUUUGUAAAACACAAAAUGGAAUUCAAGUUUUGAAUAUUAUAAACAAUGAUAAUUACCCUUUGAAAAAAUAUGUAUUCUUAACAAGGAGAAUUCCUUGGGACUCAUAAUGAAAUGUUUGAAUCAAAAAGGAUUUUGUGAAUUCCAACUGAAUUCAAAAUUCAUAGUCUUUUACAAACAAUGAAAUGGAAUUCCAAAUCCCAUGGAGUCCAACAAACCAAACACCAAAAAGAUUUAAUUGGGUUAUUUUUGUUGGUUGUUUCUGUUUUUGUAGAUUCUUGGACCAGGGUUGAUUUCUAGGAUAGAGUUUACAGAUAACAAGUCACCAGAAUGGGGUAACAUUCCAAUCAUUAAACUUAAAGAAAAAUCCAAAUUUAAAGAUAUAUAGAAACUGAAUUAUGAAUAGUAAAGAUUCAUUUGGUUUCUGAUUAUCUUUCUUCAAAGAUUCAGUUACAUCCUUUUUAAUCUCUGAUACUCUGUAUCGCAUUCCAUUCAGACUCCUGUUCUAUGUCUAUUUUGAUUAGAGAAAAUGAGACCUGAUUAAAAUCAAUAUUGCUAAAUAUGACAAUAUAUGUUAUAUUGUUGUUAGGAAACUUCAUAUUGUCUACUCGCAAAUUGAUCAUGAAAGUUCAUUGAUUAAAAAAGCUCAAUUCCAAAAGUUGAAAAUUCAAGAACAUAUAGAAAUACCGAGGAAUAAAAUAAAGAAAUCUAUUAGAUUUUGCCUGUUAUUCGUAUGGAUUGAAUUUGUUAUUAGCAUUGGAUUAUGAACUUAAGUUACGAUCUUUUUUCUUGGCGCAAUUAGAUUGAAAUAAGCCGACAAUUGAAGACCAGGUCGUCUUGUACUGAAAUUUUUUUUUAAAAAGUUCACAAAAUCUCGUUAAUUUGCCAAUCUACUACUAUUAAUCUAAAAUGGAUUGCGUAUUUUUUAUUUAAGAAUAUUAUAUUUGCCUUAUCAUAUUAGUUAAAUGAAAUAUUUGAUUUAUUUUAAUAAAAUGCUAUCAUUCUAUAUGAAGCACCGACAGUUGGCAUUAGUGUGCUAUGACAGGAUUAAUAUUCAAUUAUAAAUAAUUAAAACUAUUAAAUUUAUUUUUAAUGGUGACGUUUUUUAAAUAAAUAUUGAUCAUAUUAGUUAAUGUUAUUUUUUAUUUUUAUUUUUCAUAGAAGCAUCCAAAGUGUUACCCUCAAGGGUAAAUAUGUCUAACAAAUUGAUGUAGACGUAGAUAUAAAUCCAUAGGAUCCACUUUAUUGUUAAAGGUUGACAUGAUUGAUCUUCUAAGGAUCACCAUAAGAAUUUACUGCUAUUAUCUAUCGGCAAAUACAACCAUGCAUUCAAUUUGCUCAAUGGAGUUCUACCUCUUAGUAUCACUAUUGUUGCAACAAUCUUUGUCUCUAUUCUUGUACACUGUUUGCUACUCCCUAUCCUCCACAGAAAGAAGGAAAACACAGUGAAGAACCAAAAGCCACCACAAGCAAAAGGGGCAUGGCAGAAAAACAUGGCGCUAUCUGCACCAUCAAGCCUGGUGUUCAUCAAGCUUUGGUGGUGAGUGAUGCAACGAUUGCUAAGGACUGCUUUACUACCAAUGACAAGGCCUUCGCAAGUCGACCGAAAACAGAGGCAUCAAAAAUCAUGGCCUAUAAUAAUGCCGUGUUUGGCCUGGCUCCAUAUGGGGACUAUUGGCGAAAAAUGCGCAAGAUGGUCGUGUUGGAGGGUCUUUCUCAACAAAGAGUUGAAAUGAUUGGACAUAUUCGAGCUUCAGAAGUUAGAGCAUCCGUUAAAGAGUUAUAUGAUGGGUGGGUAAUGAAUAAACUUACUGAAAGUUCAGAGUCACAGUCACAGAUGGUAAAGGUGGAGUCCUGGAGAUGAGUCAAUGGUUUGGGAAAUUUGUUUUAAAUAUUAUGGUUAGGAUUAUUACAGGAAAGUGGUUUUCGCCAAAUCAUGAAGAAGGGGUUCAAUUUCAGGCUGUGGUAAGGAAGUUCUUUGAGUUAAUGGGGGCAUUUGUGCUUGCAGAUUUUAUACCUUAUCUCAACUAUUUGGACGUGGGUGGAUACAAAAAAGUGAUGAAGAAUACUUGGAAGGAUUUGGACAAUAUCUUUGACCGAUGGUUAAAGGAGCACAAACAGGAGAUUAAGUCUAUACAACAACAUGAAGCGAACCAAGACUUUAUGCAUGUGCUAAUUUCCAUUCUUCGAGGUGCUUCUGAAGAUCAAUUCCCGGGUUUUGACCAUGAUACAAUUAUCAAAGCGACAAGUCUAGUAAACUCAAACUUUUUAUCUCAAUGUUUCGUGAUUACAUUAAAUAUUUAUUCAGCCUUUUAACUAUAGAACCUAAUCCACGAGUGUUUAAUUUGUGUAAACUCCUGUUCACAGCAAAUCCUAUUAGCAGCCGUUGACACGACAUCUGUGACAUUAACCUGGGCUUUAUCAUUGUUGCUCAACCACCCAAAAACAUUAAAAAUUGCGCAAGAUGAAAUUGAUGAGCAUGUUGGAAGGGACGGAUUGGUGGAGGAGUCAGACCUAAAGAACUUAUCUACCUCAAUGCCAUCAUCAAAGAAACAUUACGAUUAUACCCAGCUUGACCUCUCGCUGUUCCUCACGAGUCACUGGACGACUGCACUGUGGGUGGCUAUAACAUUCCAAAAGGAACUCGUCUUUUGGUAAAUCUUUGGAAGUUGCAACG